CCGGUGACCACAUUUUAUGACACAACAGUUUUCAGCCUGUGAAAAUAGUCUCUCGGGAAGAGAUGUGGAACUGUAAGAGGUUAUAGUGUCCUAUCUGACAACUUGCAUGUUUGCAUUAACCCUUUACAUUCAUACAUCAUUGUCUCCUGCUCUGUUGCUCAUAAUCCCCAAGACUCUUGAGAAGUGAGCAGGACUGAAAGGUGCAUCGCAUGGAGUGUAAGUAAAGAGCUUAUUGAGAGUGAGAAUGCAGUUGAUUUGGUUUUUUUUUAUGGUACUGGGAAUUGAACCCAGGAUCAAUGGGCUGCCUCUCCAGUCCUUUUAUUUUUUAUUUUGAGACAAAGUCUCACUAAGUUGCCCACACAAGACUCAAACUGGUGAUCAUCCUGCCUCAGCCUCCUUCAGAACUGGGUGUUUUAAAUUUUGUUUUGUUUUUUCAAUCCUACUCCAUUUCUCUUGCUAGGAAAUGACAUUAUUUUAUUAUAAUUUCUCAUUUUUCCUACAGGAGCCAGCCCCACUGAUUUCAGAGGGCCAUCUAGGGAAAGGUGAAAGAAAUAUGCAUGUUAUCCUAUACACAGAGGGCCUUCCUCUGUCUAAAAGUAAUGCUUGUCCUAGCAAGGCCUUAGUCUGUAUGUGUUCCCAUGUGUGUGAGCUGUUCAGGGAUUACACAUACAUUUUAAAAUAUAUCUAUCAAAAAACCAAUCCAUUGAUCAAUCAAUCAUGUGCCUAAAUUUAUUUUGAAGGUAAGAAAAUGCAUAGUCAUACAUUAAUACCUGUUACUUGGAUUCUUAUAAAUUAGCAAUGUUUUUAAGGAUUCAGGGAGGGGUUUUUGACAGAAACAAAAAUCACUGACUUAAUAUUUGCUUAUAGAUCCAACAAUUUUUAUGAGCUUCUACACACUUGGUAGAUAAUGUACAAGGUAUCAAGAUUGUAAUAUGUAGUCUCUAUUCUCAUAGCUGCUUCUAAUCAAGAAUAAUAUAUUCAAUAUUUCUGUUAGGAGUAAAUUACUAUAUAAGAAUUUCCAUUCAAGCAUAAAAUCAUGUGUCAGAUGGCUAUUACAUCCUACGAGUGCCCCAAGAAGGGGAAAAUAGUGUGUUCUAGAAAGGCAUCUCUGUGAAGGAGCAGAGAAUUGGCUACACCUCGAACGAUGAGGAACAUUUAAACAGGUACAACAGUGGUAGGAGUGAGGUGAUGAACCUGGUUUUAUGUUGUUACUAGAGAAGCUGGACCUGAAUUAAAGUUGAGCAUGUAUUAUCUCAGAUACUUCUGAACCUGGGAGAUGAAGGUGAGUCUGCCCCUUCCAUAGGUAGGCCUGGUACCUGAGCCUGGGGAUGUGGUCUGGGGGAAGCUGGGGAGAUCUUUGAGUGCAUGCCUCAGAGACCGAGGGACUGUCCAUUUUCAUCUGGACAUACAUUAUAGACAUACCUUCUUAAAUUGGCUUGUGUUAACUUGGAAGUUUAGUACAGCACAGUUUAUCAUAGAAUAAGAAUAGACCCCCAUGAAAAAUGUGGAACUAAGUUUAACUAUUAUGAGAACAUGAGGAGGCUUCACCAUCUCUUAGUUCAGAGCUGCUCUCUUUUCUUGAGAGAUAAGCAGUGAAGGCCCUUCUGUGUAGGCUUUUGAGACUCACACUAUGACCACUGCAAUAGUUUGAAUCUUCUGUGUCCUCAUAGAUCCAUGUGUUAAAGGCUUGGUCCCAGUGUGGCACUAUUGACAGAUACUGAAACCCUUAGGAGGUGGAGUCUAGUGGGAGGAAGUUAAGUCAUUGAGGGGCGUGUCCUUGAGAUAUCGGGAUGCUAGCCCCUCCUCUCUCUUUGCUCCUUGGCUCAUGAUAUAGGUGGUUUACCCUGCUACUCUGCUACGUGGUCUGCUUAAGAUGCACUGCCUCGCCACAGGCCAAACCAAAGGGGCCAAUGAAAAUGGGCUGGAACCUCCAAAAGUUAACUGGUUGAAAACUUCCAUGUGCAGAAGUCCAAGAAAUCCCAACCUCCAGCCAGCAACCAAUGCAAGACUACUAUCCUGAUGUACUGUCACACUGGAGUCAUUUAAAGUCAGUUUUUCUAUGGCACUCUUCAGGUUAUUAUAUUCAGACUGAUCUAUAGGAUACAUUCCUGCAAAUACCAUUGGUUUCACUGAUUUAAAUACAGGCAAGGGCUCCACUGGAUGAUUAUGUAAAUACAACGUAUCUCCUAUUUGUGCUUCAGUGACAUCUUUCAUCCCAGCAAUCAAAUAGCCCACCUGUCCUGCAUAUAAUUUAAGAGUUGGCUGCUCAUUAGGAUUCAGAACUCCUGCUUCAUUAACUUUGCAUGUCUUUUGAGUAUGUGCUGAUACAAUUUUAUCUCCUUUGGAAACCCACUCCAUCAAACAACACUACAUUGGCUAUCACACCUCUAUAUUGGUCAAAGGUGGAGUCAAAUACCAAAACUCUCAGAGGAUUUUUGCGAUGCACCUUAGGAAGGGGUAUUCUUUCAAUAACUGCCUGAAGAACAUGUUCAACAUUUGUUCCAAGUUUAGCAGAAAUCUUAAUACAAUCAUCACUUGGAAUAUCAAAUACUUUUUCAAUUUGUUUUUCAACCCUUUCAGGAUGUGCAUUCUUCAGAUCUGUCUUGUUUAUAACUGGAAUUAUUGACAGCUGUGCUUCAAAAGCAAGAAAGAAGUUUGCUACAGUUUGGGCUUGAAUACCCUCAUUUGCAUCGACCACCAGUAAAACACCCUGGCAAGCAGAAAGUGACCUGGAUACUUCAUAACUGAAAUCAACAUGGCCUGGUGUAUCAAUAAGAUUUAAAACGUACUCCUUUCCUUCAAAAUUGUAAAAAAGAGAUGCUGUCUGUGCUUUAACAGUGAUUCCUGUUUCUCGUUCCACUUGCAGUUUAUCAAGAACUUGCUUAUUGUCUUAUCAACUGUUCCUGUUAGUUCUAACAGCCUGUCAGCUGAAGUACUUUUGCCAUGAUCCACAUGUGCAAUGAUACUGAAAUUUCUAGUAUCUUCAACAGGAAAUCUAGAUGUGUCUGGUUUUUCCCAAGAUCACAUUGGAGGAGCUGUGGAAGGAUUAAAUAAGCAGAAUGGAGCCCGCGUGCUCCAGGCUCUGCCACCCUAGAAAUAACUGGAAGCGGGGUCCACUCGCAAUCCCAGGAAGCCCCGAAAGAGUGCAUGGAGCACGCUGUGAAGUCCAGAAGGGGGCGUAAUCACGGGCUUAGAGGCGGUCACCUUGUGCCGUGCAGAGCUGCAGAGCCUGUCGCUAGCCCAGGACCCUGCAGCAGCCCCGUGUCUGGCAGCGGGCCAGAACCGGGGUGGCUGGGGUCGUGCGGCCCCUGUGGCACAUGGCAGGAGCACGCGUCUGUGCCAGCAGCCCCGGCCUGCGAGGGUCCACAUGGCCUGGGCACUGGAGCCCACAAGCUGGUUUGUUCCCAAGAGCCCAGCUAAGCGCCGCAAGGAAGAAUCUGGAUCGCUCUAGAGGCUAAAUCAGGUUGCCUUACAGUUUUCACCCCACGACUCCCGGCAGGAGGCCAGAAACCAGCACCUUCACUCUCAUUUUUUGUUCUGUAUACCCUAAAGUUGAAUUGCUAAAUCAUAUGGUAAUUCUGGUUUUAGUUUUUAGAGAAACUACCAUAUAGUUUAAUAUAGUAGCUGUAUCAUUUUCUAUUGCCACUAAUGGUGUUCAUGGUUGCAAUUUCUCCCCAUCCUUGCCAACACUUAUUUUUAAAAAAAUAGUAGCCAUUCUAAUGAGUGUGAGGUGGUAUCUCAUUGUGACUUUAAUUUGCUUUUCCCUAAUGAAGCAUCAAUAUUUUUUCCAGGAAAUUUAUAGUUUAACUCUUCCAUUUAAAUCUUUAAUCCAUUUUGAGUUAAUCUUUAUAUGUAAUGACUUUAUUUUUUUGCAUGUGAACAUACAAUUUUUCCAGAACUACUUGUUGAAAAGACUUUCUCUUCCCAUUUACUGGCCUUGGAAAUCUUGUCAAAAAUAAUUAGGUCACUUGUGAAGGGUUUAUUUCUGUACUGUUUAUUCUAUUCCACUGAUCUAUGUCUGUUUUUAAUGUCUUUAUGUGCCAUACUGUUUUGAUUACUAUAGCUUUGUAAUAAGUUUUGACAAAAUGUGAUUGGUCCAAAGCUGUUCUUUUUCUUAAUUGUUUUGUUAUUCUGGAUCCCCAGUUGAUCUGAGGAUGGAUUUUUCUGUUUCUGCCAAAAAGUACCACUGAGAUUUUGAUAGAAAUUUCAUAAAAUCUUUGGGUUAUUUGGUUAAUACUGAUAUCUGUUUUCAUUUCUUUCUCUCUUUUUUUUUCGUACCAGGGAUCGAGCUUGGGACCUGGUGCUUGUGAGGUGGUUGGCAGCACCACUGAGCUAAAUCCCCCACCCUGUUUUCAUUUCUUCUGACACAAGAUUAACCAACUUCAAAAUUGUUACACUUAGUUUCUAAAAGAGACAAGGAGAACUGCUGUGCUUAAAGAACUUUCAGAGAUUGUGCACAAUGUGCCCGCAGGGCUGUGUUCCUCUUUUCCCUCCUAGAACCGGUCCAUGUUUUAUUCCCAGCCAGCCUCCUCUUAGCAGAACAGGACAUGAACACUCAUGUAAAAGUCCUUACAAUAUUUGUGCUAGUCAAUCGGCAUAAAUUCAAACGUGCAAUGAUGGAAUCAUUGGUACUACUUUUAAUUCCAGGGAAAAAGGACUUUUUGGUUGAUCAGUGGCAAGUGCCAGCCCGCUAUAAAUGUAGACUCUCUCCCUCCCUUGCUUCCUACAGCAAUAGGCCCUUAACUGCUCCUUAGCAAUUUUGCAUUGCCCAUUUUGCUUCAUAUAUAUAUUUCUUUUUAGGACUGAGAAUUUGAACCUCUUUGACAAGUCUUUAAAAAUGCAUCAUUAUGGGAGAGACUAAUUAUUCUUAGGACUUUGAUAAUCUUUUAUUUUUGAAAGGCCAUUCAUUCAUAUAUAUAUGUAUUUCUUUUUAGGACUGAGAAUUUGAACCUCUUUGACAAGCCUUUAAAAAUGCAUCAUUAUGGGAGAGACUAAUUAUUCUUAGGACUUUGAUAAUCUUUUAUUUUUGAAAGGCCAUUCAUUCAUAUAUAUAUAUAUAUUUCUUUUUAGGACUGAGAAUUUGAACCUCUUUGACAAGCCUUUAAAAAUGCAUCAUUAUGGGAGAGACUAAUUAUUCUUAGGACUUUGAUAAUCUUUUAUUUUUGAAAGGCCAUCCAUUCACCUGUUUUGUUCAUUCAGAUGAAAAUUAAUAGAACACACAUCAUGAUUUUCAAAGCUAUUUUGAAAUGAUGGAAACCCUGCCCAAACCUUUGAAGAAAAGCACUUGCUUUAAUAGAUUUGAGAAGGUAUCCUAGCAACCACUCUAUAGUGAAAUUUAUCAAUUUCUCAGGGAGAAUUUGUAUUAAAUCCAAGAAAGAGACACUUCAAUUUUAAUUUCUUAGAGUCAUUUUUUCUACAUUGUUUCAGAGAUCGGACAUUCUUAGAUAUCUUCACUCUUGAGACUUCAUUUAAUAACCACUAAAAGCAUAUUUGAUGUUACCCUACAUGGGCUGUCUCCUUCAGUGGUACUGAAUUCCAGCUGGUACAGAAAGAUGAUAGAUAGAUAGGAGGUGUAUAUUUUAAAAUAGUAUAAGAAGCCAAAAAAAGUGCAAAAAUAUUAUAUAUGUAUUUGUGCUUUUUUGUUUUUAUUUCUAUACAUGCAAAAAUAUGGCCCAAAACCUUGUUGACCCUGAGGAAGCCUGAGGCCUAGAAAACAUUCAUUCACACUAAUCUGGCUUUUCUUUGGUUUUAUAAAAGGGAAGAGAUUUAUUUGGUUUUGCUUUCAGAUUUCAGUUAUUUCUAAAUUGAAAACUUUAAAAAAAUGUGAAUGCAAAUGAAAAUAGAAUUUGUUUCCAGAUGUAUAAACACAUCAAGCAUGAAAUGACAUGAACCAAAUAUGCAUUCUGCAAGUAGGAUUCAGAAGUGAGCUGGCUAUUAAAAUUAAAUAGUGUUAACAAUGCAAUUCUAGAUCACCAGGGAAUAGGGCCUGCAUAGAAAAUUCAUAUGCGUGAGAAAGACUUAGUCUCAGGGGUUUUGUUAUCUUGAAAAGCAAAGUGAAACUGCUAUGUGGAUUGGUCUAUGGGGAUUUAUAGUUUGUGUGUUGUUUGCAGUCAUUUAGUGUCUACCUAGAUAUAUAUGCGGAUGUGUACAUGAGGACAUGCAUGCACACAACAUAGUUAUUUUAAUUAUGAUGCUAUGAUAAUUUAGUUGUAGGGAGAGAAUUUCCAUAACUUAGCAGGAAUGCUAAUGUUUCUUUGAUGUAUGCCAGUGACAGAUGAAGACUUUAUUUAUAAUGUAUUAAGAUGAACCCUACAUUUAUAGCUACAGCUUUCUUCUGGAAUGAUGCCAAUUAACAAGAAUACAAGUAGAGCAUACUUUUCCUUCCAAAAUAGCAGGGAUUCAAUAAAGAUUUGUUGAUUUCAUUAUUCUAUAUUCUUCGAUUAGAUUUUUAUUUAAGUAUAAUAUGAAUUAUA
Molecule: long non-coding RNA, 6473 nt
Filed under: Heterocephalus glaber (naked mole-rat)
Lineage: Eukaryota; Metazoa; Chordata; Mammalia; Rodentia; Bathyergidae
Description: lncRNA (ENSHGLG00100044388.1)
Source: RNAcentral